UCCCCACCACUCCAGUAGCGGCGGGAGCAGCAGCGUCAGGCCGGGGUGUGGCUGCACCUCUGCGAAGGCUGUGGUGCCCGGUGCAGCUGCGGCGUUCGGGUGGGGGAGGGGAGGCUUACACUGUGCGGCGGCUUAAGCCUGGAUGUACGCACCGAAGAAGGGAAUUAGCCCUGAGAUGUCAACCCUGUUCCCCUGGCUCUGUUCACCCGGACUUCCGCGGAGCGCCAGGCGCCGCAGCGGACCGCGCGCGCGCUGAUUGCCGCAGCUACUCUCCCUGCCGUCGCCGCCCGGGACCGGGUGACAUUGAGGUUUUCGUCUAUCGCCGCUGGGCCGAUAGGGCUUUUUAAGAUUUGGCUUUCCAAGUAAGAUUUUUGUUUGCCUGCUUUUCUCCUGAAAUUUUUUUUUUUUUUUGGUCGAAGAAGCAGGUAACUUGCAUAUCUUAAGGAAAACAUUGUUUUUGCUUUGCUUUUGUUGUUUAAAGAUCCUAAAACGUACCAUGAUUCCUUUACGUUACUAAUAAUUGGAAAGUGUGUUAAAUCAAGGGUUCGCUUAAUGUUCUUUAGCCCUUGUACAUAGAACAUAUAAAUGUUGUGAGUCAUCUUUACGAGGUU
Molecule: non-coding RNA, 611 nt
Filed under: Pongo abelii (Sumatran orangutan)
Lineage: Eukaryota; Metazoa; Chordata; Mammalia; Primates; Hominidae
Source: RNAcentral